This 3051-nucleotide long non-coding RNA is filed under the name Hordeum vulgare. Its description in RNAcentral is "long non-coding RNA (HVUL_LNC016714)". The record is from RNAcentral. Lineage: Eukaryota; Viridiplantae; Streptophyta; Magnoliopsida; Poales; Poaceae.
CCGCCGCAAGUAGGAAAGCCCCGGGCAACCGAGGCUGCCUUCCGCCGGUGGACCAGUCGCCGGCGACUCCAUGCCCCUCUCCGACCCUAGAGAUUACCGGGAGGAUCGUCUUGGUCCCCUGCAUCCAUUCCCAUAGCUUAGAACCCUUGGGGAGCCGUCGCCCAUCGGUGAGGGCCGCUGGAAGCCGCGCCCCGUCGGCCGAAGGAAGAACAAGGCACGGUUGGACCUUGUCAAAUCUGACCAGUGGGCCCUCUGGUCCACUGUCAGUGAAGGUCCCUGCCGAAGCGUUGAGUCGAGGCACAUUUCUUAGGAGUACGUCUUCCCUGUCUGAAAGCGUAUAUUAUACCGAAAUGUUUUCUUUUAAACUAUUUUAUUAAAAUCAAAAAGUUGACCUACUUUGACUAGCUCUGGUUUUUAAAACCACAAUUCCAAAUAAGUUGAUUCUUUUUGUGUUAUUUCUCAAAUUCCAUCUAGUUUAGUUACACGUUUAUUCCAAAAAAAAACAACUUUUCUAUAUUGUUUGGAAAUAUAUGUUAAUUUUAAUAUUUUUAAAAAUAGGAAAAAAGGAGGGAAGAAUCCUUUCAAAGAUUUUGGAGUGCACACUACCCUUGUUCAUACCCAAGGCAAACAUGUGGAGCACUUAUUUGUCAUAAGUGGAGUGAUUGCUUGCUGCGAUAAAUGAAUGCAUGUUUAUGUUAGUAAGAUGAAAACUCCCAUAUAAGAAAUACUUAUGCAUGAAUGCAUGUGAUGGUUAUUUUUUUGUUGUUGAUCAUAAUUAUAGAUGAUACUCUGUACUACCUCAUUCCACGUAUGCCUGUGUCGGCCCGGACAACCUUUGAGGAAGGUUUGUCGUGGGCAAAAGUGUGACCAUGAAAGUGAUAUCUCGUUGUGACGAGAGUGAUCAAUGAGGGUAUAUCGGGGUAUGAUGGUGGUAACACUCUCGGAUAUCAUUCGGAAAUUUUGUGAUGCUAAUCAUUGUAGGGAAACUUAAACCUGCUAAGUCGACAGUAGAUCGAGUCUUCUACGAGUAACCCUCAUACUUGAUUUGUGCUACCACUUGUCACUGCCACGGGUAGGGUACGGUUCAGUAAGUCAUCAACCCCUUUCCAUGCACACACCGUACAGAGAGGCCAUAGUGAACGAUACCACUGAUCACUGGUAGGCAUGUUACUUGGUCUGGGGGCAUGGGUGUUCCGGUUGCAUCGAGGGGGUAGCGCCCAUGUUUGCGCGUGGUAAAAAUAUGUUGAUCCCGUGCUAAUCAAGAUUGUGGUCUCCCCACUUAGAGUUUUUCUUAAUGAUUGCUUUGGGCGAUUACUGGCAUCGGAAAGUUAAGCUGGUUUGUAUGCGUUUGUUCAACUCAAAGACCGUAAGCGGAAUUAGCCAAAAUUACAGGUUGACUAAGGAAAUCCGUUACUCGUUGGUAAAGAGUACACCCUGUGUCGAGUUAAUAUAUAUUCGAAUAGCCGUGUCUGCGGGUAAGCACUACAUUCUGGGAUAGGUCAAGCGUCGGUCUGAGUGUUGGUCUUCGGAGGAAUUAAUUGAAACAUGAUAAUGACAUGAACCGUGAUGGGUGAUCAUAAUUAUUAUGAAUUUUGUUGUGGACCAACCAUUUCUUGUAUAUGAAUUUUUGAGUGUCCCUGGGAAGGUUCUACCUCGUGGAUACUCGAUGUUAUUAUUGUCUUCAUAAUCCCUUUAUGUGGUGUUGCUCCACCCGCCCGACUCUCGCAACUGUUAUUCAUUGCAUAUAAGCCCUUUAUGCGGCGUCGCUCUAGACGCCCGACUGUGGCAACUCUUAUUAUUUACAUAUAAGCCCUUUAAGUGGCGUCUCUCCAUAUGCCCGAUUGUGGCAACUCUUAUUAUUUUUAUAUAAGCCCUUUAUGUGGCCUCGCUCUGGACGCUCGACUACGACACAUCCGUUAUUAUUUUGUUAUAAGCCUUUUAUGCGGUGUCUCUCUAGAUACCCGACUAUGGCAUUACUUUUAUUACGCUGGUAUAAGUCCCUUUAUGUAGCGUCACUUUGACACCUGGAUGUGGCUUAUAUUGCGUGUCCUUUCGAGGUGCCGCUUCAGACGCCCGAUCGGCGCAUUUUUUUAUUGUUAGUCUCUUCCAUUGAUUGCUUAUACAUCAUUAGUAUGAAUGAUUUAUGUGCAUAAUAGCAUCCAUAUAUUAAAUAUUGUGGCAUGUGAGGUGUUAUUAAAAUUUUAGUACAUACAUAUCACCUGCUUUAAAUUAUUUGCUUUCGUGAUGUUUGUGAGUACAUUCAAAGUACUCACUGGCUUGUCCCUGCAUAUUGUCUUGGCUAGAUUACGUAUUUGGAGAGGAGCAUGAUGACGACAACCCCGGAACCUAAGCAUCGAGGAUAGCAGCCUUCCGAGAUAGGAGUCAUCCAGGUGAGUUGUUCCUGUCGGAAUGGAGUCCCGUGGACUCUAAAGAAUCCACGAGUCGCUUCUGCCAUCAGCCAAUAGACAUUUUGUUAUACCCCAUGGACCUUCAUGGUCUUGUUCCCCCUAUUUUGUAAUUUGCUUGUACAUUUUGUAUGAAGUGAGUGUCCUCCAACUAACAGUAGUUCUAGGGCUGGUUAACACAAGGGCCUGUUGCUGGGUAUUUUAUAUCCCAGAAAACCGGUCCCUACAACCUUGCUAUGAGAGCCAGGCUGACCAUUGGCUAAUCCUAUCUUAGCCAGGUCACUAUCCCUAGCCCUGAUAUUAGAUAUCCAUAUCCCAACCUAACAUACCCAAUAGCCAACCAUAGUGGCCAUCCGACACCCUUUUGGCAGUCGGUGCCCAACAUAUCUGCUAGUCCAUAGGCCGUGUGUCUAUGACCGACACCAGAGUUGUCGCACCUCCUAGCUUGCGAUGGAAGACUCACUAGGCCUAUGAAGGAAGCCUUGCCUUAGCCCAGCAACCCACAACCUUCAAUCCCAUUCCAAGAACCCCAAACUAGUAGGUCUUUUGGCCCCGUCAUUUUCCACGAGACCGAUGCAUUCGAGCCUGAAGACCUCGUAGCCAUCCUCGCCGACCUCACCCGCCAUAUUUUUGGCAUAGAAGAAAC